UAGCCCAAAUGAUUUUGUCUGGUUUUUCAGUUACAUUUCAUAUAUUUUCAUAACUUUUUUAGAUUUUUUUCUUUAAUCCAAUUUUUAAAGAAACACAAAUUUUUCAAAGAAUAUGUCAUUAACUUGUUAUAACCAGACUUUAAUUCAUAAUCUGACUCAAAAAUGUGGAACCAGUUCGGAAAAGAAUAUUGUCUUAAUUUGGAUGACAAUUCAAAAUGUUUUCUGUUGACAAUAAGUUGUAUCAAGAGUUAUAAUACCAAUUUGACUAUAUGGUUUUUGACCCUGAAGUUCCUCUCAGGUUACUUUCUUGUGUUCACCUUUUCAAUAUUACCAUGUAUGACACUUUACAUAUUUCAGACACCAGAAGCCACAGGGUGUUUUAGUAAUUUUUGAAUUAACCACUUUGACUUUGUUGCAGUAUCCAUGUAUUGUUUUUAAUUAUAUCUAUAUUAUGUUGUUAGGAGAAUUAAUUCUAAAUACUUAACUGUAAAGCAAAUAUUUGCAUUAGAACUUACCUACAUUGUAGGUAAAAAUGUGUUUCAAUACAAGCUCUCCAAAUAAAAUGAGACUUGUUCAAAAUUUGAAACUUUGUAAUUCCAUUGAUACAGUUGAAUAUUAAAUGUAAGCCUCAUUGUUUUGAAAAACAGAAAAUUCUGUUAAUGUAUAGAUACUGGAAAGUAUUAUACAUAUACAAAGCAUAUGAUUUUAUGAACUUGUGUUAAAAACCAUUCACAUUACAGCAAAUAUGUCCUGCACUGGUUUUUAAGUUUUAAGUUUUAUGUACAUUGCGAAAUAGUCAGGCAUAAUUUUUUUAAAGUUAUUUUGUUAUCUCAGACUGAACUUGUGAUGAAAUAUACUUAUUUAAUAACAAUUAGACUGCUAUUUUUAUAAUGUGUUUACCUGUGUACGCCAGUGAGGGUGAGAUAGUGCUGUCUUUUGAGACUUUUAUGGCGGAACACUCAUGAAUUCGAGGUUAAAAAGAGACAUAGUCAUGCAGACCUAAGAUUGUUCUUAAUUGAAGUUACCAAAGGAUUUGUGUAUGGUUUGUUACCAAGAGAUACAAGGGAGCUAAUUCAAUAUCAUUAACCUGCAUGAAACAUAUCAUAAAUUUGUCUUUAAAUUUGUCCACUAUUUUGAUUUGCCAAUAUUUAUUUAAUGCAUGUUUAACAAGAAUAAUAAUGAAGUACUGGUCAUAUCCUUUUUACAUGGUUUAUAUUAAUUAAUUAUGGACAUAUUAAUUUCUAUUUGUUUAUUAUUCUUCCAAUAUUAGUACUAUCUACAAGAAUAUACUAAUAACAUGUUGCUUGCAUAGUUGGUAUAUUAGGUUGGAGAUUUUUUUUAACCAGGUACCUAUGAAAUUUAACUGUAACAGGUGUGUUAUAAGACUUAGUUUUAGUGUGGGUGAUUGUAUGUUUUUACCUUUUUCCAUUGCAUAAUUACCUAGAGUAUUAUGGAAUCUUCCUGUAGUUCGUUAAGAUGCUUCAGGAUACGAACCUUUAUGAAGAGUGAUAAGAUUGAUACAGGCCAAGAUAAUCCUGGAUUUUUUCAUAUUGAUUUUUUUGUUUAUUGAUCUUCUACUUGACUUCUGUUGUUGUUGUUAAUUCUUUGUAAUUUCAUUCCUGUAUCUGAACAGGAAUAUAAUUUUUUGAUACUUCUAAUCAUGUGGUCAGGUUUUUUGUUGCUUGCCACGGCAUAUUAAUGUUUUCAAUUCUUCAUUCUAUUGAUAUUCAUUAUUUCAGUAUCGUAGUUGAUCCUUUACCUCGAGUCACGAUCAAACUUGUGUACCGUGGUUUAUCAUUUACCACGAGUCAUGAUCAAACUUGAGUACCGUGGUUCAUCUUUUACCUCGAGUCACGAUCAAACUUGUGUACCGUGGUUUAUCCUUUACCUUGAGUCAUGAUCAAACUUGAGUACGAUGGUUUAUCCUUUACCUUGAGUCAUGAUCAAACUUGAGUACUGUGGUUUAUCCUUUACCUUGAGUCAUGAUCAAACUUGAGGACGGUGGUUUAUCCUUUCCUCGAGUCAUGAUCAAACUUUAGUACGGUGGUUUAUCCAUUUAUCGAGACUGAUCAAACUUGAGUACUGUAGUUUUUCCAUUUAUCGAGUCAAAAUCAAACUUUAGUAUUGUGGUUUCUUUAUCCUUUCCUCGAUUCAUAAUCAAACUUGAGUAUCAUUGCUUAUCCUUGCCUGGAGAGGGCAUUAAUGGCCUCUUAUUUCAUUUCUUGAUCUGAUUAUUUGUUGUCACUACUUGUUCCUUUCUUUUUUGGUUUGUUUUUUUUCCCCAAGUACAGUCGUGAUAUAUUUUUCAUACUUUUUAUAAAAUAUUCUGCCCAGUUAUGUGGUACUGUCACAUUUAUUAGUAUAAGUGCAGUUACCUGUUACUGUCACAUGUAUCAGUACAGUUAUGUAGUACUGUCACAUGUAUCAGUGCAGUUAUGUAGUACUGUCACAUGUAUCAGUGCAGUUAUGUAGUACUGUCACAUGUAUCAGCACAGUUUCCUGGUACUGUCACAUGUAUCGGCGCAGUUUCCUGGUACUAUCACAUGUAUCAGUGCAGUCACCUGGUACUAUCACAUGUAUCGGUGCAGUUACGUGGAACUGUCACAUUAGUGCAGUUACCUGUUACUGUCACAUGUAUCAGUGCAGUUUCCUCGUACUGUCACAUGUAUCAGUGCAGUUACGUGGAACUGUCACAUUAGUGCAGUUACCUGUUACUGUCACAUGUAUCAGUACAGUUACGUAGUACAGUCACAUGUAUCAGUGCAGUCACCUGGUACUGUCACAUGUAUCAGUGCAGUUACCUGUUACUGUCACAUGUAUCAGUGCAGUCACCUGGUACUGUCACAUGUAUCAGUGCAGUUACCUGGUACUGUCACAUGGAUCAGUACAGUUAUGUAGUACUGUCACAUGUAUCAGUACAGUUAUGUAGUACUGUCACAUGUAUCAGUGCAGUCACCUGGUACUGUCACAUGUAUCAGUACAGUUAUGUAGUACUGUCACAUGUAUCAGUGCAGUUACCUGAUACUGUCACAUGUAUCAGUGCAGUUAUGUAGUACUGUCACAUGUAUCAGUGCAGUUACCUGGUACUGUCACAUAUAUCAGUACAGUUAUGUAGUACUGUCACAUGUAUCAGCACAGUUAUGUAGUACUGUCACAUGUAUCAGUGCAGUUACCUGGUACUGUCACAUAUAUCAGUACAGUUAUGUAGUACUGUCACAUGUAUCAGCACAGUUAUGUAGUACUGUCACAUGUAUCAGUGCAGUUACCUGGUACUGUCACAUGUAUCAGUACAGUUAUGUAGUACUGUCACAUGUAUCAGUGCAGUUACCUGGUACUGUCACAUAUAUCAGUACAGUUAUGUAGUACUGUCACAUGUAUCAGUACAGUUAUGUAGUACUGUCACAUGUAUCAGUGCAGUUACCUGGUACUGUCACAUGUAUCAGUACAGUUAUGUAGUACUGUCAUAAUUAUUUCAGUCUUGAUAGAGCACUUGUUUUGUCAAUUCAUUGUUUUUUAUGAACAGCAUUUCCUUUCAGUUACAUUUUAGAUUAUUUAAGUGGAUUCUAAAUAAUCUCUAACUAUUGAUGAAUUAUUGAAAGUUAUAUUAAAUAUUGAUUACUUUGGACUAAGUCAUGGGCCUGACUGAAUGUUCUGUCUGGGAAUCUUGUGGUAUCUUACACUGUUUAAUGGUGUUUUGUAUUGACGUAUUUUUAAUGGGGCAUAAGGUCGUGUACAAGACUAAUGGUAUGUCAGGAACUGUUGUGUAUGUCACUGCAUUAAUGGAUGUUGUUAUAAUUAUUACAAAAUGAAAUAUUGGUAAUCCAAAUUCCAUGUGAUCAUUAUUGAGAAUCAAUAUUUGAUUCAAUAUUUUGUUACAUUGAUAUGUAAUUACUAAAUUAGAAGAUUUGUUCUGAUGAAAAGAUACUUCUGUGUGCUUGUGAGCAAUGGCGACUGAUGCAGGGAUAAAACAUUUAAAAACAAAUGAAAUGUAAUAAUGUACAAAUAUUUAUUAAGUUUUGAUUUCGAUUGUUAGUUCUUGUUCAAGUUUUAUUAUGACAUUAUGCAGUCACUUUAUAACAGCCUGUCCAGUUAUCACAUUCCUAUGCAGGGCUACAAUUUUUGAAAAGUCAGACAAAGAAUACAAUUGCUGAAUAAUGAAACUUUGGAGGUUGUAUGUACUAAAAAGAUAAUCUAUUUUAUCCUACAAUAAAAUAAAGGAACAAGUUGACUUGAUAGGUCAAUACAGACACUGGGGACUAAAACAGACACAGAAGGACGAGGUGGACUAAUACACACACAGCAGGACGAGGUGGACUAAUACAGAUACAGUAGGACAAGGUGGACUAAUACAGAUACAGUAGGACAAGGUGGACUAAUACAGACACAGGACAAGGUGGACUAAUACAGAUACAGUAGGACAAGGUGGACUAAUACAGACACAGGACAAGGUGGACUAAUACAGAUACAGUAGGACAAGAUGGAAUAAUACAGACACAGUAGGACAAGGUGGACUAACACCGACACAGUAGGACAAGGUAGACUUAUACAGACACAGUAGGACAAGAUGGACUAAUACAGACACAGUAGGACAAGGUGGACUAAUACAGACACAGUAGGACAAGGUGGACUAAUACAGACACAGUAGGACAAGGUGGACUAAUACAGAUACAGUAGGACAAGGUGGACUAAUACAGACACAGUAGGACAAGGUGGACUAAUACAGAUACUGGACAAGGUGAACUAAAACAGACACAGUAGGACAAGGUGGACUAAUACAGACACAGGACAAGGUGGACUAAUACAGACACAGUAGGACAAGGUGGACUAAUACCGACACAGUAGGACAAGGUGGACUUAUACAGAUACAGUAGGACAAGGUGGACUUAUACAGAUACAGUAGGACAAGAUGGAAUAAUACAGAUACAGUAGGACAAGGUGGACUAAUACAGACACAGUAGGACAAGAUGGAAUAAUACACACACUGUAGGACAAGGUGGACUUAAACAGACACAGGACAAGGUGGACUAAUAAUACAGACACAGGACAAGGUGGACUAAUACAGACACAGUAGGACAAGGUGGACUAAUACAAACACAAGACAAGGUGGACUAAUAAUACAGACACAGGACAAGGUGGACUAAAACAGACACAGUAGGACAAGGUGGACUAAUACAGAUACAGUAGGACAAGGUGGACUAAUACAGACACAGUAGGACAAGGUGGACUAAAACAGACACAGUAGGACAAGGUGGACUUAAACACAGGACAAGGUGGACUAAUACAGACACAGGACAAGGUGGACUAAUACAGAUACAGUAGAACAAGGUGGACUAAUACAGACACAGUAGGACAAGGUGGACUAAUACAGACACAAGACAAGGUGGACUUUCACAAACACUAAAAGGUCUAGAUUGAGUGGCCAGAACAGGCAGUGUAGGCAUCAAACGAAUUAUCAACGAAAAACAUGAUAGUGCUGAACAGUAAUUUUACAUACAAAAGCAAUUACUUUGGAUAGAUCUUUAACAAACUGAUAGCUUUGUGUGAGGUGGAUCAACAACAACCAAUCAAUCGUACUACAUCCUAUCAUCAGGAUGGUCUCCGUGUGUAGAGUUUCUUUUUUGACAGCUGCUGUCAAUUAAAAUUCAAAUUUAAUCACAACUACAUGGACACGAUUUAAUGUUGGUUUACCAGGGCAGUUGAAAAAGGGUUGAAGGAAUGCUCCUGAUUUCUUAUAACAGACUGAAGUUAUCAAGUAAUUUUUUGUGGGCUACACAGUGCUAGUACAACAUUUGGUAGAUUCCAACAAUAGGGUGAACAUGUAUUAACUGGUAUUUCACCCUUGAUAAUUAGAGUAAAUGUAAUGUUCAAGCUGGUACACACAACUUUUGCUUUUUUAGAGCAGCGUUAUGAACAUGUUUUGAUUGUAAUGUUCAAUAUCAACAGAAAACUACAGCUCUGCCUGCCAUUGUAUCUCAGCACAAGACUAGCUUAGUCAAAAAGUGGUUAGCCAAAUAUGUUGGUCAUUGUACUGGUGAAAAGUAGUGAGUCAUUUUACAGUGUGGUCUAAGGAUGAUCAUUGUGCUGAUUGAGUGUUGGCCUGUGGUCUGACUAAGUUGGGUAUGUGGUAGGCCAGUCUGGCAAAGUAUGGAGAGUGUUUUCUGGUCAGCCAGUGUUCUUGCAGUAUUUUCUACAGCCGGCAACGUUGCUUUUGGAGUGAGGUUUAUGGUUGGCUAGUUUGCAAACUAGAGUGUGGUCUGUGGUUGGCCAGUGUGCUGUCAGAAUGUGGUCUGUAGUUGGCCAGUGUGCUGGCUGAAUGUGGUCUGUAGUUGGCCAGUGUGCUGGCUGAGUGUGGUCUGUAGUUGGCCAGUGUGCUGGCUGAGUGUGGUCUGUAGUUGGCCAGUGUGCUGGGUGAGUGUGGUCUGCGGUUGGCCAGUGUGCUGGCCGAGUGUGGUCUGUGGUUGGCCAUUGUCCUGGCUGAGUGUGGUCUGUGGUUGGCCAGUGUGCUGGCCGAGUGUGGUCUGUGGUUGGCCAUUGUCCUGGCUGAGUGUGGUCUGUGGUUGGCCAUUGUCCUGGCUGAGUGUGGUCUGUGGUUGGCCAGUGUGCUGGCCGAGUGUGGUCUGUGGUUGGCCAUUGUCCUGGCUGAGUGUGGUCUGUGGUUGGCCAUUGUCCUGGCUGAGUGUGGUCUGUGGUUGGCCAUUGUCCUGGCUGAGUGUGGUCUGUGGUUGGCCAGUGUGCUGGCUGAAUGUGAUCUGUGAUUGCCUGGUAUGCUGAUUGAGAGUGUAGCUGGAGGUUCACCAGUUUAGGGAGGAGUUAUCACUUUUUUCCGAGUGUGCUGUGAUUAGUCUGGCAGUACUUUUGCUGAUUAUGAACGGUUACUGGUCAGAGUUUUGUCUGUGUAGAGCUGGGAGCUAGAUCAAGCCUUGGGUAUUAUAGUGGUUUUGCCUCAGGUUUUUUUUGUGAGUAUUCUUUGAUGUGUAAUACCAGUGACACAUAUCUCAAGUAUUAUUUUACCUACAAAGAUCUGAACUUUGUACUCGAAUAUUGAUGUGAUCUAUAACUUCUAUAUAUUGUCAAACGAACAACUAUUAAAGCCAUGACUAUGAGAA
This is a long non-coding RNA of Ylistrum balloti, 7106 nucleotides long. RefSeq lists it as uncharacterized. NCBI's taxonomy places the organism in Eukaryota, Metazoa, Mollusca, Bivalvia, Pectinida, Pectinidae. The transcript has 2 exons. The record is from RefSeq and is a predicted model, not a curated record.